UACGAAGGGGGGCUAGCGUUGUUCGGAUUUACUGGGCGUAAAGCGCACGUAGGCGGAUCGUUAAGUCGGGGGGUGAAAUCCUGGAGCUCAACUCCAGAACUGCCUUCGAUACUGGCGAUCUUGAGUCCGGAAGAGGUGAGUGGAACUCCUAGUGUAGAGGUGGAGUUCGUAGAUAUUAGGAAGAACACCAGUGGCGAAGGCGGCUCACUGGUCCGGUACUGACGCUGAGGUGCGAAAGCGUGGGGAGC
This 248-nucleotide ribosomal RNA is filed under the name uncultured bacterium. RNAcentral's name for it is "partial 16S ribosomal RNA". It matches the Rfam family "Bacterial small subunit ribosomal RNA", at positions 524 to 769 of the family's 1533-position model. The record is from RNAcentral.